RNAcentral lists this ribosomal RNA (461 nucleotides) under uncultured bacterium. RNAcentral describes it as "partial 16S ribosomal RNA". It matches the Rfam family "Bacterial small subunit ribosomal RNA", at positions 28 to 506 of the family's 1533-position model. The record is from RNAcentral.
GACGAACGCUGGCGGCGUGCUUAACACAUGCAAGUCGAACGGAAAGGCCCUUCGGGGUACUCGAGUGGCGAACGGGUGAGUAACACGUGGGUGAUCUGCCCUGCACUUUGGGAUAAGCCUGGGAAACUGGGUCUAAUACCGAAUAGGACCACGCGCUUCAUGGUGUGUGGUGGAAAGCUUUUGCGGUGUGGGAUGGGCCCGCGGCCUAUCAGCUUGUUGGUGGGGUAAGGGCCUACCAAGGCGACGACGGGUAGCCGGCCUGAGAGGGUGACCGGCCACACUGGGACUGAGAUACGGCCCAGACUCCUACGGGAGGCAGCAGUGGGGAAUAUUGCACAAUGGGCGCAAGCCUGAUGCAGCGACGCCGCGUGAGGGAUGACGGCCUUCGGGUUGUAAACCUCUUUCACCAGGGACGAAGCGUAAGUGACGGUACCUGGAGAAGAAGCACCGGCCAACUACGU